RNAcentral lists this ribosomal RNA (352 nucleotides) under uncultured Racocetra. Its description in RNAcentral is "SSU rRNA". It matches the Rfam family "Eukaryotic small subunit ribosomal RNA", at positions 569 to 929 of the family's 1831-position model. The record is from RNAcentral. Lineage: Eukaryota; Fungi; Glomeromycota; Glomeromycetes; Diversisporales; Gigasporaceae.
AGCAGCCGCGGUAAUUCCAGCUCCAAUAGCGUAUAUUAAAGUUGUUGCAGUUAAAAAGCUCGUAGUUGAAUUUCGGGGUUCUACCGUUGGUCGGGCUUUGUCUGUACUGGCGUGUAGAAUUUCUACCUUCUGGGGAACCAUCAUGUUAUUAAUUUAACGUGGUGGGAAACCAGGACCUUUACCUUGAAAAAAUUAGAGUGUUCAAAGCAGGCUUAUGUCUGAAUACAUUAGCAUGGAAUAAUAGAAUAGGACGGUGGUCCUGUUUUGUUGGUUUCUGAAUCACCGUAAUGAUUAAUAGGGAUAGUUGGGGGCAUUAGUAUUCAAUUGUCAGAGGUGAAAUUCUUGGAUUUAU